GGUAGUGAGGGCAAUCUGGAUGUGACCCGGGUCACCCCACUAAUCACCACGGUUGAUUAGGCUGAUGUGGCUGGUGUCCUCUUCCUCCCUUACUGCUCCAUGUGCAUCUACCCUGAAGCUGUGUGCUUUGUCAAAGAUGAUGGCCUUUCCUGAUAGAGAAGUACCAUACUUGGGUCAAGAGUAUAUGAGUAGCUGCACUCCCCUGCUAGAACCUCCAUACAAGCUCUCAAGGAAUGUGGUAUAAACAGCAAGGCAUAGGAUGUUAAGAAAAUAAUGCUUUUUAUUAUUUUUU
Unclassified non-coding RNA from Spermophilus dauricus (Daurian ground squirrel), 292 nucleotides. Its record names the gene 7SK. It matches the Rfam family "7SK RNA". Rfam says of the family: 7SK was discovered as an abundant small nuclear RNA in the mid-70s but a possible function has only recently been suggested. Two independent studies have found that 7SK RNA binds the CDK9/cyclin T complex (known as elongation factor P-TEFb). P-TEFb activates transcription by phosphorylating the C-terminal domain of RNA polymerase II. NCBI's taxonomy places the organism in Eukaryota, Metazoa, Chordata, Mammalia, Rodentia, Sciuridae. The record is from Ensembl.